This 538-nucleotide ribosomal RNA is filed under the name uncultured bacterium. RNAcentral's name for it is "bacterial SSU rRNA". It matches the Rfam family "Bacterial small subunit ribosomal RNA", at positions 777 to 1313 of the family's 1533-position model. The record is from RNAcentral.
AAUAGAUACCCGGGUAGUCCACACCGUAAACGUUGGGCGCUAGGUGUGGGAUCCAUUCCACGGGUUCCGUGCCGCAGCUAACGCAUUAAGCGCCCCGCCUGGGGAGUACGGCCGCAAGGCUAAAACUCAAAAGAAUUGACGGGGGCCCGCACAAGCGGCGGAGCAUGCGGAUUAAUUCGAUGCAACGCGAAGAACCUUACCUGGGUUUGACAUACACCGGAAGCCUCCAGAGAUGGGGGUCUCUUUGAUACUGGUGUACAGGUGGUGCAUGGCUGUCGUCAGCUCGUGUCGUGAGAUGUUGGGUUAAGUCCCGCAACGAGCGCAACCCUCGUCCUAUGUUGCCAGCGGGUUAUGCCGGGGACUCAUAGGAGACUGCCGGGGUCAACUCGGAGGAAGGUGGGGAUGACGUCAAGUCAUCAUGCCCCGUUAUGUCCAGGGCUUCACGGCAUGCUACAAUGGCCGGUACAAAGGGCUGCGAUGCUGUAAGGCGGAGCGAAUCCCAAAAGCCGGUCUCAGUUCGGAUUGAGGUCUGCAACCG